AGCUUGCUCCUGGAUUCAGCGGCGGACGGGUGAGUAAUGCCUAGGAAUCUGCCUGGUAGUGGGGGACAACGUUUCGAAAGGAACGCUAAUACCGCAUACGUCCUACGGGAGAAAGCAGGGGACCUUCGGGCCUUGCGCUAUCAGAUGAGCCUAGGUCGGAUUAGCUAGUUGGUGAGGUAAUGGCUCACCAAGGCGACGAUCCGUAACUGGUCUGAGAGGAUGAUCAGUCACACUGGAACUGAGACACGGUCCAGACUCCUACGGGAGGCAGCAGUGGGGAAUAUUGGACAAUGGGCGAAAGCCUGAUCCAGCCAUGCCGCGUGUGUGAAGAAGGUCUUCGGAUUGUAAAGCACUUUAAGUUGGGAGGAAGGGUUGUAGAUUAAUACUCUGCAAUUUUGACGUUACCGACAGAAUAAGCACCGGCUAACUCUGUGCCAGCAGCCGCGGUAAUACAGAGGGUGCAAGCGUUAAUCGGAAUUACUGGGCGUAAAGCGCGCGUAGGUGGUUUGUUAAGUUGGAUGUGAAAUCCCCGGGCUCAACCUGGGAACUGCAUCCAAAACUGGCAAGCUAGAGUAUGGUAGAGGGUGGUGGAAUUUCCUGUGUAGCGGUGAAAUGCGUAGAUAUAGGAAGGAACACCAGUGGCGAAGGCGACCACCUGGACUGAUACUGACACUGAGGUGCGAAAGCGU
Molecule: ribosomal RNA, 689 nt
Filed under: Pseudomonas sp.
Lineage: Bacteria; Pseudomonadati; Pseudomonadota; Gammaproteobacteria; Pseudomonadales; Pseudomonadaceae
Description: bacterial SSU rRNA
Rfam family: Bacterial small subunit ribosomal RNA
Source: RNAcentral